RNAcentral lists this transfer RNA (84 nucleotides) under Brassica napus (rape). RNAcentral's name for it is "tRNA tRNA-Tyr". It matches the Rfam family "tRNA". From Rfam's summary of the family: Transfer RNA (tRNA) molecules are approximately 80 nucleotides in length. Their secondary structure includes four short double-helical elements and three loops (D, anti-codon, and T loops). Lineage: Eukaryota; Viridiplantae; Streptophyta; Magnoliopsida; Brassicales; Brassicaceae. The record is from Rfam by way of RNAcentral.
CCGACCUUAGCUCAGUUGGUAGAGCGGAAGACUGUAGUAGUUGCUGUAAUCUUUAGGUCGCUGGUUCGAAUCCGGCAGGUCGGA